AACGAACGCUGGCGGCAUGCCUAACACAUGCAAGUCGAACGAGACCUUCGGGUCUAGUGGCGCACGGGUGCGUAACGCGUGGGAACCUGCCCUUAGGUUCGGAAUAACUCCCCGAAAGGGGUGCUAAUACCGGAUAAUGUCUUCGGACCAAAGAUUUAUCGCCCUUGGUUGGGCCCGCGUUGGAUUAGCUAGUUGGUAGGGUAAAAGCCUACCAAGGCGACGAUCCAUAGCUGGUCUGAGAGACUGGUCAGCCACACUGGGACUGAGACACGGCCCAGACUCCUACGGGAGGCAGCAGUGGGUAAUAUUGGACAAUCGGCGGAAGCCUGAUCCAGCAAUGCCGCGUGAGUGAUGAAGGCCUUAGGGUUGUAAAGCUCUUUUACCCGGGAUGAUAAUGACAGUACCGGGAGAAUAAGCUCCGGCUAACUCCGUG
RNAcentral lists this ribosomal RNA (433 nucleotides) under uncultured bacterium. Its description in RNAcentral is "partial 16S ribosomal RNA". It matches the Rfam family "Bacterial small subunit ribosomal RNA", at positions 29 to 507 of the family's 1533-position model. The record is from RNAcentral.